This 427-nucleotide ribosomal RNA is filed under the name uncultured bacterium. RNAcentral's name for it is "partial 16S ribosomal RNA". It matches the Rfam family "Bacterial small subunit ribosomal RNA", at positions 355 to 774 of the family's 1533-position model. The record is from RNAcentral.
UGGGGAAUAUUGGACAAUGGGCGAAAGCCUGAUCCAGCCAGGCCGCGUGUGUGAAGAAGGUCUUCGGAUUGUAAAGCACUUUAAGUUGGGAGGAAGGGCAUUAACCUAAUACGUUAGUGUUUUGACGUUACCGACAGAAUAAGCACCGGCUAACUCUGUGCCAGCAGCCGCGGUAAUACAGAGGGUGCAAGCGUUAAUCGGAAUUACUGGGCGUAAAGCGCGCGUAGGUGGUGUGUUAAGUUGGAUGUGAAAUCCCCGGGCUCAACCUGGGAACUGCAUUCAAAACUGACUGACUAGAGUAUGGUAGAGGGUGGUGGAAUUUCCUGUGUAGCGGUGAAAUGCGUAGAUAUAGGAAGGAACACCAGUGGCGAAGGCGACCACCUGGACUAAUACUGACACUGAGGUGCGAAAGCGUGGGGAGCAAACA